This 382-nucleotide unclassified non-coding RNA is filed under the name uncultured Paenibacillaceae bacterium. RNAcentral's name for it is "contains 16S-23S intergenic spacer region". Lineage: Bacteria; Bacillati; Bacillota; Bacilli; Caryophanales; Paenibacillaceae. The record is from RNAcentral.
UCCGGUUUGUCACCGGCAGUCGUUCCAGAGUGCCCACCUCAACGUGCUGGCAACUGAAUCCAAGGGUUGCGCUCGUUGCGGGACUUAACCCAACAUCUCACGACACGAGCUGACGACAACCAUGCACCACCUGUCUCCUCUGUCUUCCGAAGAAGCCCAGCACAUCUCUGCACUGUUCAGAGGGAUGUCAAGACCUGGUAAGGUUCUUCGCGUUGCUUCGAAUUAAACCACAUACUCCACUGCUUGUGCGGGUCCCCGUCAAUUCCUUUGAGUUUCAGUCUUGCGACCGUACUCCCCAGGCGGAAUGCUUACUGUGUUAACUUCGGCACCAAGGAAGCAUCUCCCCUGACACCUAGCAUUCAUCGUUUACGGCGUGGACUAC